This 253-nucleotide ribosomal RNA is filed under the name uncultured bacterium. RNAcentral describes it as "partial 16S ribosomal RNA". It matches the Rfam family "Bacterial small subunit ribosomal RNA", at positions 524 to 776 of the family's 1533-position model. The record is from RNAcentral.
UACGUAGGGGGCAAGCGUUGUCCGGAAUUAUUGGGCGUAAAGCGCGUGUAGGCGGCCAGAAAAGUCCGCUGUGAAAACUCGAGGCUCAACUUCGAGCUGUCGGUGGAAACUUUCUGGCUAGAGUCCGGAAGAGGAGAAUGGAAUUCCUGGUGUAGCGGUGAAAUGCGCAGAUAUCAGGAAGAACACCCGUGGCGAAGGCGGUUCUCUGGGACGGUACUGACGCUGAGACGCGAAAGCGUGGGGAGCGAACGGG